UGCAGUCGAACGGCAGCAUGAUCUAGCUUGCUAGAUUGAUGGCGAGUGGCGAACGGGUGAGUAAUACAUCGGAACGUGCCCUGUAGUGGGGGAUAACUAGUCGAAAGAUUAGCUAAUACCGCAUACGACCUGAGGGUGAAAGUGGGGGACCGCAAGGCCUCAUGCUAUAGGAGCGGCCGAUGUCUGAUUAGCUAGUUGGUGAGGUAAAGGCUCACCAAGGCGACGAUCAGUAGCUGGUCUGAGAGGACGAUCAGCCACACUGGGACUGAGACACGGCCCAGACUCCUACGGGAGGCAGCAGUGGGGAAUUUUGGACAAUGGGCGAAAGCCUGAUCCAGCAAUGCCGCGUGUGUGAAGAAGGCCUUCGGGUUGUAAAGCACUUUUGUCCGGAAAGAAAUGGCUCUGGUUAAUACCUGGGGUCGAUGACGGUACCGGAAGAAUAAGGACCGGCUAACUACGUGCCAGCAGCCGCGGUAAUACGUAGGGUCCAAGCGUUAAUCGGAAUUACUGGGCGUAAAGCGUGCGCAGGCGGUUGUGCAAGACCGAUGUGAAAUCCCCGAGCUUAACUUGGGAAUUGCAUUGGUGACUGCACGGCUAGAGUGUGUCAGAGGGGGGUAGAAUUCCACGUGUAGCAGUGAAAUGCGUAGAGAUGUGGAGGAAUACCGAUGGCGAAGGCAGCCCCCUGGGAUAACACUGACGCUCAUGCACGAAAGCGUGGGGAGCAAACAGGAUUAGAUACCCUGGUAGUCCACGCCCUAAACGAUGUCAACUAGUUGUUGGGGAUUCAUUUCCUUAGUAACGUAGCUAACGCGUGAAGUUGACCGCCUGGGGAGUACGGUCGCAAGAUUAAAACUCAAAGGAAUUGACGGGGACCC
This 875-nucleotide ribosomal RNA is filed under the name Ralstonia sp. SX2R1S7. RNAcentral's name for it is "bacterial SSU rRNA". It matches the Rfam family "Bacterial small subunit ribosomal RNA", at positions 56 to 922 of the family's 1533-position model. Lineage: Bacteria; Pseudomonadati; Pseudomonadota; Betaproteobacteria; Burkholderiales; Burkholderiaceae. The record is from RNAcentral.